AGGGGAUACUCUUAUCUCAGCAACCCUUAGAUGCUAAAAUUGGAAUGACACAGAGAUUAGCACGGCCCUGUACAAGGAAGACACACACUUUUGUGAAACGUUUCAUAUUUUG
This 112-nucleotide small nuclear RNA is filed under the name Procavia capensis (Cape rock hyrax). Lineage: Eukaryota; Metazoa; Chordata; Mammalia; Hyracoidea; Procaviidae. The record is from RNAcentral.